CUAGAGAUAGAAGUUACUCGGUACAUCGGUGCAGGUGGUGCAUGGUUGUCGUCAGCUCGUGUCGUGAGAUAUUGGGUUAAGUCCCGCAACGAGCGCAACCCUCGACCUUAGUUGCCAGCAUUCAGUUGGGCACUCUAAGGUGACUGCCGGCUAAAAGGUCGGAGGAAGGUGGGGAUGACGUCAAAUCAUCAUGCCCCUUAUGACCUGGGCUACACACGUGCUACAAUGGGCGGUACAAAGGGUCGCGAACCCGCGAGGGGGAGCCAAUCCCAAAAAGCCGCUCUCAGUUCGGAUUGCAGGCUGCAACUCGCCUGCAUGAAGCCGGAAUCGCUAGUAAUCGCGGAUCAGCAUGCCCGCGGUCCGAAUACGUUCCGGCCUU
Molecule: ribosomal RNA, 379 nt
Filed under: uncultured Anoxybacillus sp.
Lineage: Bacteria; Bacillati; Bacillota; Bacilli; Caryophanales; Anoxybacillaceae
Description: bacterial SSU rRNA
Rfam family: Bacterial small subunit ribosomal RNA
Source: RNAcentral